Molecule: non-coding RNA, 193 nt
Organism: Oryza barthii
Lineage: Eukaryota; Viridiplantae; Streptophyta; Magnoliopsida; Poales; Poaceae
Source: Rfam
AAAAAGACAAACCCUAGAUUUUCGUGUCCAAUGUUUGACUAUUCGUUUUAUGUUAAUUUUUUUUAUAAUUAGUAUUUUCAUUAUUGUUAGAUGAUAAAACAUGAUUAAUACUUUAUGCGUAACUAAUCUUUUUAAUUUUUUUAAAUAAGACGAAUGGUCAAACAUGACACGGAAACCCAGGGUUUAUCUUUUU